RNAcentral lists this ribosomal RNA (619 nucleotides) under Coleosporium asterum. Its description in RNAcentral is "eukaryotic LSU rRNA". It matches the Rfam family "Eukaryotic large subunit ribosomal RNA", at positions 19 to 632 of the family's 3401-position model. RNAcentral also lists the same sequence under 1 other name. Lineage: Eukaryota; Fungi; Basidiomycota; Pucciniomycetes; Pucciniales; Coleosporiaceae. The record is from RNAcentral.
GACUACCCGCUGAACUUAAGCAUAUCAAUAAGCGGAGGAAAAGAAACUAACAAGGAUUCCCCUAGUAACGGCGAGUGAAGAGGGAAAAGCCCAAAUUUGUAAUCUGGCUCUUUUAUAGGAGUCCGAGUUGUAAUUUUGAGAACUGUUUUCUGUGCUGGACCAUAUACAAGUCUGUUGGAAAACAGCAUCAUUGAGGGUGAUAAUCCCGUAGAUGAUAUGGACUACCAGUGCAAUAUGAUACAGUCUCUAAGAGUCGAGUUGUUUGGGAAUGCAGCUCAAAGUGGGUGGUAAAUUCCAUCUAAGGCUAAAUAUAGGUGAGAGACCGAUAGCAAACAAGUACCGUGAGGGAAAGAUGAAAAGAACUUUGGAAAGAGAGUUAACAGUACGUGAAAUUGUUAAAAGGGAAACAUUUGAAGUUAGACUUGUUAUUAUUGGUUCAGCUCCUCUUUUUUAAUUAGGAGUUUAUUCCAAUGGUUGACAGACCAGCAUCAAUUUUUGAGUGUUAGAUAAGGGUCUUGGAGAAUGUGGCAACUUUGGUUGUGUUAUAGCUCCUGGCUUGAUAUAAUGCUUAAGAUUGAGGAACGCAGUGAGCUUUAUUUUUUGAAGUGGAUUCUUUUGA